AACGCACGAGACCUGCGGACCUGCGGAGGGAUCAUCAGUGAAUGUUCUCUCUUUUGAGAUGUUUUAAUAAGGAGGGCACUUGUGAGUGUGUGGUGCCGCGCGCACACGGCGGAGCCCCCGUCGUUGCGUGUUGUGUGUCCACACCCCACUUGUUUGCCCCCCUCAUUAUAACACACUCUCCAGUGCACUUGUAUAUAUAUAUUCACUCUUGUGUUGUACACACACAAGGAAUGAUGGUGU
RNAcentral lists this unclassified non-coding RNA (240 nucleotides) under soil metagenome. Its description in RNAcentral is "partial contains 5.8S ribosomal RNA, internal transcribed spacer 2, and large subunit ribosomal RNA". The record is from RNAcentral.